UGGAAUCGUGAUACUUGUUGGCAGUUUUCAUGGCCGCACUUAUAAGCUUUUCAUGGCCUUCUAGAUCGAAUACUCUCAUCCAGGGAACGUAAUCUGAAAGAGUGAAGGAAUAAAGGUGUUGGAGUACAACGAAGAGUGAUUCAACGUGUUCUUCUUCUUCAAAUCCUGGCCCUCCAUCUUCUUUUCCUUCGCCAAAGUAUCUCCUAUUGAACAUCAUCUUCCUAAUAACGUUCCCGCAAUAAUGGCGGGUUGCAAGUCUUACAUCUACAACUGUUGCGGCAGAAGCACUUUUGCGGCAUUGGUUAUAAAUGAAUCGAACAAGAUUGUCAGCUUCUUCUCUUCUCUUAGAGAUUAAGGAGUUAAGUCGGGCUGAGCUCAACACGUGAGAAGCAACCAUCUUUCUCAUUUUCUUCCAUUGUUGACCCCAUGGCACGACUGCCACUGACAGGAAUCCACGGCUAGAGUACUCUGUCCCCAUUGUGAGCGGCCUCGUUGCAAAAAUUGAAUCGUUAUCUUUUAGAACUUCCAAGGCUAUUUCUGGGGAAGUCACUGGAAUCACAUGAACAUUUCCAAACCGAAUGCAAGAAAUAUUGGUGUUAAGUUCUUUCAUCACACUGUGUAUCCAUUUGAAGGUCGGCUUAUUCCUCCACAUCUCUGGAAGGUUCCCGACUAUUGGCCAUGCAGCCGGGCCUGGGGGCAGAGGUGGUUGCUUCAUUCUUUUCUGGUCCGUACUUCUUCGAAUCUGCUGGAUAAAUUCAUUCAUUUGCAAUAAAAUUAGUUUAUAUGUCAAAUAAAAAUAUACAAUUAUUGUUCCUAAUAAAUAAAUAAGGGAAACCGAAAAGUAAAUAUAAUAUACCUUGAACGGUUGAUUCUGAACGAAUGAAUGCAUGUCCAUCACAUACUUCCGAAUAGUUUUGGAUUUCAGGUGGAAGCUUGUUAGUGUAACAAGGGCAACAAGUAGCGUCACCCAAACAAUAUAUGUGGAUUCAAAAAUGGGAAUAUCUUCAAGAUAAGAAAGGAAAUCCAUAAUAUUAAUGAAGGCAAUUUUUGGAUUCAAGAGUAAAGCCAAACGAUUUGUGGCUAUCAAAACAAAAAAAAGCAAUUAAUAUUAUUCUUGAUGGAUAUUGAUUGAAUGAAGAGGGGGUUCUCCAUUCGUCAUUAUAUAUAGAAGGGUGGUAUGGGGUUGUCAAGUUCAACGAAACUCAUGAACAACGUUUUCGACAUGCAACUUGAUACAUGAUUCGUCUGUAUCUAUACUAAGAAAUAAAUUUAUGUUUUUCAAAAUUAGUCGUGUAGUGAUUUGUCUUCGGUCAUCACUCACCAACGGUCCAUUACAAAACUUAUCAUAAUCCCUUAAUGAAGUUCUGACUUAUAAUUAAGUGAAAGGAAUAUAUUCCACAGAUAGUUAAUUAAUUAGAGGGGAGAUUCAAUAUUGGCAACAAGAAAAGAAAAAUUCAAACUCUCAUUUUAUUAAGAUUAUCAUUAGUCUGGUUCUAUUCUCAUAGUUUAUUAUAUCUUGCUUUCUUUUAUCAUUUUUUUAUGUAGCCAUGCUUCAUCCCUUCAAGGCGCGGUUUCACAUCUUCAAUAUUGGCUGUGACGGACGGGUAGAUUGUUACCUUGGUUGAUAGAAUAAUCGAUGGAUUUUGCGACGAUGGUGGGUGGAGGAGUGAUCUCUAAGAAAAAAAGAAAAGCACAGUGUAUGGAUUCGAUAGAUUUUACAUUGUGACUAUAUAAUUGCUAUUAUAGCCAUAAAUCUUCUUUUUCUUUUUCCUUUUUUAAGGGAAUUUUAAGAAUGGAUAAAUAUCUUUUGUUGUGAUACUUUUUGCUAGAUAUAAAAGAUAAAAAAGAAAGCUAAAAAUUUGACCAAACAUUAUACUGCUAUCUUAAUCACUGCAAGAAAAAUGUUAUUUUAUUAAAAAAAUUUAGUCACAAAAGAUAACAAAUUAGUCAUCUUGUAUUUUCUGUGACAAAAAAUAUAUCGUCACAUGUUAGUCGUAAAAAGACCGUCUUAAAAAGUUCUAGUAACCAAAAUUAUUUUCAACAUAUUAAAAAUAUAUUUAUGUGACAAAAAUCAUUGCCUUAAAAUUAAGUUAAAAUUGUCACAAAUGGUAUUAAAAAUGGUCAAAUUAGAGAUUAAAAAAUACAAUUAAUGACACUUCAUAUUUGUCACAAUAAAUGAUUUAUAAUGACUAUAAUAUUUGUCUCAAGAGUUUGUAAAUAAAGUCUCAAUAAUUAUUAAAAAUCAUCAUUUGUGUGUUCAAAUAUAUAAUUAGCAAUGCUAUUUUUCUAUUGUUGAAGUUCACAUAUUGCGACGUUAUAUAAUUGUCUCAAGUAGUUGUGAUUUGUGAUAAUUUUUACAAAUAUAAUUGGUAAUUAAUUUAGUCUCAAUGUUUUUUAUAAAGGCAAUUUAUAUAGUCUCACAUAAUUUUAAUAACAAUAUGUAGCCAUAGAAAUCAAUUUUUUUUUUAAAUAAAGAAAGAUGAUAAAUUACAUACCAAGAUGAAGUGAACAAUAAUAGAAAGAUCCCCAAUUUCUAAAGUUCUUAUGAAGGAAUAUUUUUUUGGAGGGGGGAUCUAAUGUCAUCACACCUAAUUCCUAAAUCCAUUGGCCAAAUUGAAAAGCAAAUUCAUCUUCAUAUCCUAAUUUUGCAAAAGUUUCUCAAGAUCUGCUAAACUUCGCUUCCAAUUUCCUUCAUUUAUUGGCAUAUUUUAUGUUUUCUUUUACUAGAUUCCCUUAGGAAUUUUAUCAAACACUUGAUAAGCAUAAAAAUAUUCAAAUAAUAGCUCCAAGAAUUUCAAACCCCUAAUUUCACCAAACACAAUAUAUAUAUAUAUGAGUAGUUUUCUGGUCAGGGAUUUUAAAGGGCGGGAAAGUCUGGGAAAGCUUUAAAACCACACGGCUUUAAAUGCUUACAGUUUUAAGCCUUUAAAACCAUGUGAUUUUAAAGGUUUCCCGCACUUUAAAAUUCCUGAUUGGAACAUUUCUAUUAUGACAAAAAUUAAUACUUUUACUCAAUAAACAAUGCCCAGAUAAGGAAAUUGAACAAAAAAUUCGAGGAAAAGUUGAAAAUUAUUGUGAGUAGAAGAAAAGACAAUAUGGUUGUUUGUUAAACUAAUCCUGAAAUAAUCAUUCACACACACACACACACGUAAUUGCAAGAAGGGAGGAUAAAGUUGAGUAGUUUUUAACGUUAAGUGAAUAGACAGAGAGAAGAUUUAAGUUUUAUUUAAGUUUUAGUUUUUUUUUUUAUAUGUAUAUAUAAGAGCAUCUCUAAAAAAACUCUUCAAAUAAGAAUUUAUUACUUAUUUGAAGAGCUACAUCAAUAUUCAAGAUUCCAAAAGACACUCCAAUUAAGAUUCUUCAAUAAGAAAUGAUUAUCUCUAUUCAAUUUUGUAGAGCUGUUUUCUUACUCUUUAAUUUACAUUUAUUACUUUUUAUUAGAGGGAGAGAAAAAACAAAAAAGUACUUUAAUUACCAUUUACUUUCAUUUGAAAAAAUAUUUAUUUGAUUAAAAUAAUAUUAACUUAUUUCUAUUUGAAGAGUUUUUUGGAGAAUAACAUAUAAAAAUAAUAUUAUCUUAUUUCUAUUUGAAGAGUCUUUUGGAGAAUAAUAUAUUUUUUCAUUCUUCUUUUUACAACAUAGGUAAACUAAUAGAUAUUUAAAGAAUAAAAUUAAUAGAACUUUUUAGAAAUACUCUAUCUUAACUAUUUUAAGGUUUUUCAAAAAAUAAAAAAGAAGCUAUUAUAACCGGUGGCCGGUUAUAAAAUCACUUAAAAAAUAAUAAAAAAACGGCUGCAUGAGAUGCAGCCGCCGCGUUUUACAAGCGAACGCCACUCUUGAGGGCUUUUGACAGAUUCUAGCCAACGACAAGGCAGAUGAUGGUUGGUAGAAGAGAGUUGGCUGAAAAGAUAGAUUUGAUAGUCGGAAAAGAAUUAAUGAUGCGACACUUGGAGCGACCAAUUAAGAGUGAAUUUGAACAAGACGUCGUUUUUUUUCCACCAUGUCGCCAUUGUACUUGCUUGGGGUGAUUAAUUGCUUCAGGCUACAUGAAAACGAUGCGUUCUGCAACGAUAAACUUUUUUUUGUUUUUUGUUUUAACCUUCAAACUGUAAGUUAGUCAAGGUAUAUUUAAUUGCAUGGCAUAAAAUAAAUCGUCACGACAAAGGUUUUAGCCACCGAAAUUGUAUUCGUCGUUUAAAAUAAUAUAUUUUUGCCUAAAGUCUAUAUCAUAGUGCUUGUUUGAGGGAAUCGACGGCCGAGUAUUGCAACGGUGGUUGGCUGUAUUUUUUGGUAUAGGGCUAAUUUUGCACUAAGGGUGUGUUUGGACUUUGGAGUAUGUGAUUAUAGUGUAUUAUAAUACUUUUCACAUUAAUUUAAUAUCAAGGUCAUGUUUAGAAAGAAAUUGUAUUGAGAUAAAGGGGGUGUGCUAAUGCGGUAACUACCGUAUUAACGUUUUGCUUUUGCUUCUCUUAUUUAUUUAUUUAUUUACUUUUGCUUUUUUCAAUAAUAAUAAAUAAAUAUAACUUUUUAAUUUAAUAGAUUAUUUGAUAAUAUUAAUAUUUAUUUUUUAUUUUUACAUCAUAAUUAUUAAACUGCUUAAUUAAUAUUAAUUUAAAAUUAAUAACAAUAAAAAUAAUAACAUAAAAUAUCAUUCCGUUAUGAUAUUAUUUAGAGAUUAUUUGAUUAAAUUAUUCACUUUGAUCUUUAUUUCACAUUUUAUAUAUUUAAAAAAUACUAAAAAAUAAAUGUUAUGCUGCCGAAAAUAUAAGGCUAUAAGUUUCGAUCUUUACAAAAAAUUAUGAUACCUUUUAACAUUUAUACUAAAAAAUAAUGUUAAAUUUCUAAAAUUUAAGACUUCUAUAUUUAAUAUUUUUCUAUGUACUAAUAAAUAUUAUUUUCUAAAUAUAUAAUUUAAGUUAAUCAUAAAAAAUUAAUACAGUACAGUAUAACACCAAACGUUAUACAAUAUUAUUAUAAUACAAUGCUAAUACAAUAUAAUAUAAUACAAUACACCUGCAUUAAAAAUAAUUCAAUACAUCAUAAUUCAAUGCUAAACGCACCUUAAGGGAAAGAAAAAUGAUAUGGGCAUGAGAUUUGUUGAAUAUGCUGAGCAAUAUCCAUUAGACACAUGGGAUAGAUUUCAAGUAGUCAAGAACUAAUACUUUGAAUAAGAACUAGUGGCAUUAAAUAGUAAGUAUUGAUUCCUUCGGUGAAGUUAAGACUCUUAUAAUAUUUCGCUUUCAAAGUUGCCGGCUGGAUUCUUGAUACAAUUUAAAGCAAUGAAUCUCUGAACUCUUGGUUAUGGAGAAACUUCCUGCUGUUUCUCUUUCUUCAAAUAAUUAACGAUUACAAUGCGAUUUAUAUACGACGAAAAGAUCAACUUGUCCAAGUAAAAGCAAAUAUAUAUAAGGGAAAAAGACAAACACACCCCUAACGUUUAGACAAAGGGAUAAAAACCUCCCUAGCGUUUUAAAAAAGAUAUUCACACCCCAAUUUAUUAUAAUUUUACCAUUAUACCCUUUUAGUAUAAAAAAAACUAUUAGAUUAUCCAAUUUGUCUAUAUAUUGUUAAUAAAAUUAUAAAUAUACCCUCAUUACCUCAUUCUUCUAUUUAAAUUUUUAUCAAUAACCAAUUUUUAAAAAAGACAUCUACACACUUAAAAAAAUUGUAAAUAAAUUAUAAUUUUAAAAAUAAAAUUGAUUAUUAAUACUAUAAUAAAUAACAUAGAAAAUUAGUUAUAAAUAUACAAGUUUAAAUGAUUGACAUGUGGAGAAUUGUUAAAUAUACAAGUUUAAAGUUUAAAUAAAAUUGGUUAUUAAUAACCAAUUUUAUUUUUAAAAUUAUAAUUUAUUUACAAUUGUUUUAGGUGUAUAGAUUUUUUUUUUGAAAAUUGAUUAUUGAUAAAAAUUUAAAUAGAGGAAUUGGGCAAUGAGGGUAUAUUUAUAAUUUUUUUUUAUAAUAUCCAACUUGUCUAUUUAUAAUUUUAUUAAUAAUAUAUAGACCAAUUAGAUAAUCUAAUAAUUUUUUAUAUGCUAGAAGGGUAGAAUGGUACAAUUAUAAUAAAUUGGAGUGUGAAUAUCUUUUUUAAAACGUUAAGUGGGUUUUUGUCCCUUUACCUAAACGUUGGGGGUGUGUUUGUCCUUUUCCUUAUAUAUAAUAUAUGGAUUUAACUACCUUACAUUUCAUAUAAGGUACAGUCUUUUUUACUGAUAAUGAAAUUCAUAGUUCAGUUUUGUGAGCGACUGUACCUUACUAAAACAUAAGGUAGCAGUUCCCAUAAUAUAUUAUACUUGAAAUAAUUGUGUAGAAUUAGUAGAAGCAAAUACUUUAUUGAGAAAAAUCAAACCCGUCACUUACGACUUACGUUAAGAAAAUUGACGUGCGCGUUAGUUAAUUAAGAAUAAUGAUAGAGAGAAGGAGCUCACUCCAACCCCAGCAAUCCCAUAUGAAAGAGUAAACAGAAGUUAAAAUAAUGAUAAAAUUAUUCUAACUUUUGAAUUAAUGACAAAAUUUUGCACAAUAAAUUCGCUUUGGUCGGAUUGAGGCGAGUCUCGCUAAUUGGUGGGUUGAAUAUAAUUUUUCAUUAUUUAAUGUACAGAUCAGAAAGAUCACAUUUAGUUAUGGCAUAGAUCUUGUUAACUCAAUUGUAGUCAAGCAUAUAUUCUUUGACCACUAAAUAAAAAAAUAUAUAUAUUAUUUGGCCAUAAGAAUACGUGGAGUUGAUUCCUCACUUAAUAUUGAGUCCUUCGUUGAAGUCUAGACACUUAUUUCGUAGUCGUCAGCUUGAUAAAAUUGAAAGCACUGUAAUUACCAAGAACGCAAUUUUUUUUUUUUUUGACUUUCUGAAGGAAUUAUAUUGACUUCUUCGUUCUAAUUUGACUGGAAACUACGUAAGUUAUCAAGUAAUUCACUAUGAAAAAUUUAGAAUAAUUAUUUGGGAAGACUGUAGUGUAUUAAUUAUAUCAUAUAUGGGAAGGUCAGUUUAAACGACUCGUUGAAACAUGUAGCACCAUUUUUUUUUUCUUUUAAAAUAUGUGUUGCACAAUAGGAAAACCUCAAUAAAUUGAUAAUUUUGAGUAAACUAAGUUUGCUAGUUUCGUGUUCAGACAGAUAGGCUAAAUACAAUUUUACUAAAUUUAUAAGAUAAUGCACUAUAGAAAAAUAUUUGUAGUUUCAUAUAAGACAACUUAGUCUUGACCUAUUUAAUACUUAUAAGUUUGAGAUAAUUUUCAAUUUAUAAGCUAAAUUUUGAGUAUGAAUUAGACACAAGCUUCUAUGUGCUAUCGAUGCCAAACUCAUCCACAAGUGGAAUCACGCUACCUUUUUCAUAUGAUAAGAAUUAUGUAGAAAGAUCAAGUUGCACGUAAUAGAAGGUGUUAAGAGAAAAAUCUCAUAUUAGUUGUAAUGAACCUUUAGAUAUUUAUAUAACCCUAAGGUAAUUCUUGACUCUUGAACUAGUUACUAUGUAUGAGUUUGGCCAUGAACUUUUAUAUAGUAUUAUAACCAAAAUCUUGUAAGAGUUGGCUCACGCAAUCUUACCAGAUGAUAGGGACUAAUAAAAAUGAUCAAUCAGCAUGUAAUUAGAGAUGAUAGGGAAAACAUCCAAUGUUAAUUGAGAAAAAUAUUGAGUAUGAAUUAGGCUUAUGAUAUCAUAGAAAAACUCAUCCAUGAGUGGGCCAUGACAUCUCUAUUUCUGACUAUAAAGAAGCACAAACUUUAAAUUAUUAUUAUUAUUAUUUUUGGGUUUAAUUUCAAGCUCCAGUUUUUCUUGUACUAGUUAAUUUAGUUCGUUACAUUGAACAACAGUUCUUCAUUGAAAUCAGUUUCUGGAGAGGUUUAUAUGUACACACAAUCCUCGAGUGAAAUAGAGAUUACGACAAACCCUGUUGAAAAUAAAUCUAUCAUACAAAAAGAAAGGAGUUAAUGUGUUAUCCAAUUCGAGAAUCAUUGGGCUCGACCUGUUGGUGUGCAUUCUAUAGCAACAUUAACCAAAAUAUUGAUGUGCCUAAAUAAGACCAACAGUCUAGUUAAAUGGCAUCAAGGUAGUAACUUGAAUCAUUCAAAACAUUAGCAGCAAAAAUAUUGCAAAAGAAAAAAAUAAAAAUAAAAGGCAGAGCAAACAAUAUAAUAUAGAAAUAAAUAACGAAAAUAGCAAAUGUAAGUGCCAAAAUAUUUAGCCAUGUGUCUAAAAAUAUUUUAAGGAAUAUAUUUAAGAACAAGUAAGAUUACUCCGGAUCCAAACUAGAGUAAAACCAAGACGUGAUCACAUAAAGAAUUACACGACUACCCAUACAAAACUCGGAAAAGAUUGUUGAUCUAAUGAAAAAAAUGUAAUAAUAAGUGCACAUGAUUACUAAUAACAUCACGUAUGGAAAACUUGAACACACCCAAAAAAAAGGUUAUAAAAUCUAAUGGUGUAAAAUAUAACAAAAACAAGGAAAGGCAGAGAUUUAUAUCUAAAAUCAAAUCUCUUGUUAAGUCCACUCUUUUCGAUCUAUAAAUACAAGUCAAAAGGAUUGAGAAGGGACUUUUAGCUAUUUUUUCACUCAAAAAAGAGAAAACUAGAUCCGGAUUUACUAGAAUUCACUGAACACAAAAUUGACAAGAGCAUUGGAAUGCCUUUGCAGGCACACACUCAAGUUACGAUGAUCUGCAGAGAAAAUGUUGAAGACGAGAAGGAAUCUCAUGCAUUCAAAAGAAUCAGGUUUAAUUCAAAUCGAUACUUCUUUCAUGUUAUGAUCCAGUCUAUUGAAGGAUUUUUUAUCCUUCAGUCAACAAUUUUCCUAUUGGGAAGGCAGAAGUGACAUUGAUCUAGUCACAAGUAAUAACCUGAGUUGUCCUACAAAUUCAUCUGUACUAAGAGUAUCCACGGAUGAACGUUUGUUUAUUAAAAAAAAAAAAACACAGCACAUAAUAAUACAAACAUCAGAAAAUUGUACUUGGAUAAGGAUGGAGAGAGAGAAAGAUGUAUUUCGAGAUGGCAAAGCUUUCAAGAUAGAUAAAUCGUGAGAUAAUGGAGAAUUACAUUAAAUUAAAGAAUUAAGAUAACAUAAAGAACGGUUAACAACAUAUACAAUUCAAGAAUUUUAAUAUGAGGUUAAAUAACUUCUCAUCAUUUAAUUAUUAUGGUGCGUUUGAGAUUGAGAUCGACUAAAAUAUUUGGUAAACACUAGCUGCUGUAUCUUGGAAGCUAUAUUGAUAUGAUUUUUCACUUGUAUAAUGGAAAUCUAUUAUAUAUUUAAUUAUUUUAUCAAAAUUAUUGUUUUAAAUUUACAUUUAUUAUAUAUUACUAACUUUUUUUUUAUAGUAAUCGAUUUUUCCACAGGAACUGUAGCUUAAAAGUUAUAGCACCUCAAUUCUAAUCGUACCCUUGGUACAACUCAGCAGCCAACCGGGGCUUUGCACGUGCACGCAACGGCUUAGCCAUAAGGAGGUCGUAUUUUGAUUCGGACAGGUCAAUCUUCUCCUCACCCGAUGGCGCGCUCCAUUCAAACCCUUGAAGAAGCCUUGCCAAAAGCACUACAGACAUCUCAGACCCAAGUGCCAUGCCCAUGCAACUGCGCCUUCCUCUGCUGAAUGAAAGGAAUCUUAAUUCUGUUUCCGCCAACUCUAAUUGAUGAUGAUGAUCGUCCACUGAACCAAUAUGACGUUCAGGUAUGAAUUUCAAUGAAUCUUUCCAGACGUUAGGGUUCCGGCCAAGCCCUAUUCGGCUCAGCAGAACGUGACUGCCUUUGGGAAUGAAGUAACCGGCGAUAGUGGCAUCGCGAGUUGAAACAUGAGGCAGGUUAAACGGUGCCACGGGAUGAAGGCGAAGCACUUCCCUUAAACAAGCUUUGAUAUAAUUGAGCUGCGGGACGUCAGAUUCCUGAACAAGUCUUUCUUUUCCAACAACUCUAUCGAUCUCCUCUGUUGCUUUUUGGAGAAUUUCAGGCUGGUUGAUCAUCUCCGCUAUUGCCCAUUCUGCUGCAUUCGAUGGAUUAUCCACUGUUGCAAGUGUCAGAUCCUGCAAGUACGUACAUAUGUUAAUUUAUCGAUCAGUUAAUUUGUCAUUAAAAUUCGAGACCGCGACCUGAUUAUAUAUAACAUGAGCAAUUAAUAAUAUAAAAAUUAAUGUAUUAAAUAAACAAGAUAUCCAACGUACCAUGCAUUGAGAUUUGAUCUCAUCUAUGGAUAACAAUGGAACCCCAUUUUCAUCAUUUGCUGAAAUAAGAACAUCUAGCAAGUCCUGGUCCUUGUGAGCUUCCUUUUUGUUGUCAUGAUGACGUCUCCGUUGGUGUACUCUCUCAUCUAUAAUGGAAUCGUGAUACUUGUUGGCAGUUUUCAUGGCCGCACUUACUUUCUCAUUUUCUUCCAUUGUUGACCCCAUGGCACGACUGCCACUGACAGGAAUCCACGGCUAGAGUACUCUGUCCCCAUUGUGAGCGGCCUCGUUGCAAAAAUUGAGUCGUUAUCUUUUAGAACUUCCAAGGCAAUUUCUGGGGAAGUCACUGGAAUCACAUGAACAUUUCCAAGCCGGAUGCAAGAAAUGUUGGUUUUAAGUUCUUUCAUCACACUGUGUAUCCAUUUGAAGGCCGGCUUAUUCCUCCAAAUCUCUGGAAGGUUUCCGACUAUUGGCCACGCAGCCGGGCCUGGGGGCAGAGGUGGUUGCUUCAUUCUUUUCUGGUCCGUACUCUGCUGGACAAAUUCAUUCAUUUUCAAUCAAAUUAGUUUAUAUGUUGAAUAAAAAUAUACAAUUAUUGUUCCUAAUAAAUAAGUAAGGGAAAUCGAAAAAUAAAUAUAGUAUACCUUGAACAGUUGAUUCUGAACGAAUGAAUACAUGUCCAUCACAUACUUCCGAAUAGUUUCGGAUUUCAGCUGAAAGCUUAUUAGUGUAACAACGGCAACAAGUAGUGUCACCCGAACAAUAUAUGUGGAUUCAAAAAUGGGAUUAUCUUCAAGAUAAGAAAGGAAAUCCAUAAUAUUAAUGAAGGCACUUUUUGGAUUCAAGAGUAAAGCCAAACGAUUUGUGGCUAUCAAAACAAAAAAGCAAUUAAUAUUAUUCUUGAUGGAUAUUGAUUGAAUGAAGAGGGGGUUCUCCAUUCGUCAUUAUAUAUAGAAGGGUGGUACGGGGUUGUCAAGUUCAACGAAACUCAUGAACAACGUUUUCGACAUGCAACUUGACGCAUAAUUCGUCUGUAUCCAUAUUAAGAAUUAAAAUUAGUCAUGUGGCGAUUUGUCUUCGGUCAUCACUGACCAACAGUCUAUUACAAAACUUAUUUUAAUUCCUUGAUGAAGUUCUCAUGACUUCUAGUGAAAGGAAUAUAUUCCACAGAUAGUUAAUUAAUUAGAGGGGAGAUUCAAUAUUGGCAACAAGAAAAGAAAAAUUCAAAUUAUCAUUUUAUUAAGAUUAUCAUUAUUCUGGUUCUAUUCUCACAGUUUAUUAUAUCUUGCUUUCUUUUAUCAAUUUUUUUUUUAUGUAGUCAUGCUUCAUUCCUUCAAGGUGGUUUCACAUCUUCAAUAUUGGCUGUGAUGGGCGGAUUGAUUGUUAUCUUGGUUGAUAGAAUAAUCGAUGGAUUGUGCGACGAUGGUGGGUGGACAGUGGAGGAGUGAUCUCUAAGAAAAAAGAAAGAAAAGCAUAGUUUAUGCAUUCGAUAGAUUUUACGCUGUGACUAUAUAUAUAAUGGCUAUUAUAGCCAUAAAUCUUCUUUUUCUCUUUUUUUUAAGGGAAUAAUUUGAAGAAUAGAUAAAUAUCUUUUUUUUUUUUGGUACAAUAAGUAGCCCAAACAAAGCUAAGCAAGAUAAAUAUGUUUUAGGGUUAUUUUAGGGACCUCCCCUGAAGUUUAGUGUAUUUACAGUCGGAUAGAAAGUAUCCACGUAAUUACAAGCACCUUCCCUACCGUUAGUAUCCAAUUAGUUUGACUGUUAGUAGACCGUUAAAAUUACAAAAGUACUAUUCCCCUCAAAAUAAUAAGUUUUUUUUUUCAGACUGGUUCUCCAUUUUCAUUGAAAUUUUCUCUCACUUCCUCUCACUUUUUCUUGACCUCCAAACAAAAACAUUUUUUAAUUAUUCAUCAGUAAACAAUAGGAUAACAAGAUGCAGCAAAGCAAGCAAAACUUUAAAACUACAUCAAAUACAAAAAGAUCCACACAGCCCCAUCCAUAACCUUAUUCAAAUCCCAAAUGGUCUGCAAUCAACUGAAACUAAUCUGUUUCUUUCCUCCAACUUUCCCACCACCCAAACACACACUCCUACGAAAUUUAAACCACAUCCUAGUACAGAUCAAUCUCAGUUACAAUUACACAAGUACCGGCUUGCUUCAAAGUAGCAACACAACCAUUGCCAACAUCACCAUAACCGCAAACAACAACAACAUUUCCGGCAAUCAUAACAUCAGUAGCUCUCAUCAAACCAUCGAUGGAAAACAAAACAAUAAAAUGGAUCAUCAACCACGUCAAAAAAUGAAGAUGAUUAAAAUAAUGAUCUAUCGAUCAUGUCGAACGGCAACCAUUGAUGAUGACGUGGGGAAGUAAUUGUGGUACCUACUGCCGUAUAACACAGUGGAUCGACGCCGUUGGAGCAUGCCGUAGUAUCAGAGAGCCGACGUCAGAACUAAAAUUAGGUUGACGAAUAAGCAUGCAAAUUGUCGAAACACGUACGCGCUCUUUUUGAAAACUACGCUCAUCGUUACCGAUACCGUGUCUUCGAACCUAAUCAUGUCCUCAUUUUCAAUCUUUUCUUUGAGAUCAUGUGCCACUCACUUUGUGCUAGUGUGACAAUGAAUUUGAGAUCUGAAGCAAAUCAAAGUAAAUUACCUUGCUAUUGGUGACAGAGUCAUUGACAUUGAUGGCAUGGAACAAGAGGGUUCCAUUUUCUUGCAUCUGGUACAACCAAUCUGAAACUCGGCGUUGUCAGUGGAGGCCGGGUCGGGUAGCUUCCGAGUCUUCUCGUAGAUCUCCUCAACUUUGACUCUCUCGUGGAUCAACAACAUGGCGUACCACCGUCGUCAAUGAUGAGAUCUGGGCCGCCGCCGGGACCCUAGUCUAGAGCUUUCUCCGUGCACCACCAAUACUCCUAGAGGGUCUCGCCCUUCCAAGCGAAGACGGAGGCAAAGUUACGUACAAUGGCGGCUGCCACGUGGUCUUGGGUUGAGAAGAUAUUGCAGGACCACCAGCGGACUUUGGUGUCGAGAGCGGUGAGGGUUCCGAUGAUGUUGGCUCCUUUGAAGGGCUAUGAAAGGGCCGAAUCAACAAAAUCAUCGCACUUUUGAUUUUUUUAUUUUAAAUAUAUUUUUACACAUUUACCCUUACAUACUGAUGCCAUACGUAUUUGAAUACUAACGUCAGGGGAGAUCCCUGUAAUUAAAUGCAUACUUUCUAUCUGACUGUAAAUACACUAAACCUUAGGGGAGGUCCCUUAAAAUAACCCAUAUAUUUUAUUGUGAUACUUUUUGCCAGAUUUAAAAGAUAAAAAGGAAAGCUAAAAAUUUGACCAAACAUUAUAUUGGUAUCUUAAUUAAUUUCUUGUCGAUAUCCUAGAACCACUAACGCACUUCCACAUCUUCACUCUUUCGGCGCAAAAUAUUAUUCAGCCCCCUAUACUCUAUAUUAUUUACAAUUAUUUAUAAGUAUUAUAAAACUUUCUGUCUAGUAAAAUUUUGUUGAACCCCUUGUACUCUGUUUUAUUUUAAUCAAACUCUUGGAGUACCAAUUUACCCUCUAUACUUUUAAAUUCCCAAAAUACCCUACAUUUAAUUAAAAAAUAUAAUAAUUAUUAAAUAAAUUAUAAUUAUAAUUAUAAUAAUUGUUUAUUAUAAUUAUAUUUUUUAAAUGGAUUAUUAUUAUUAAUAUUAUUAUUAUUAACAAGAAUAAAAAGUAUUAUAAUAAAUUAAUCUAUUAAUUUUUUAGUUAAAAUAUUAAUAAUAAUAAUUAACAAUAAUUACUAUUAAUAAUUAAUUUUUGAAUAAUAAUAACAAUAACAAUAAUUAAAAUACAAAAUAAUAAUUAUGAUAAAAAUUAAUGAAGGAUUUUAUACUAAUUUGUUACAAUUUAAUUUAUUCUGAUUUUUAUUCUAAGACAAAGUAAACACAUAAAUGGUAAUACAACUCAUUCUAAUUAUGAUUCCUGCCGUUCAAGUAAAUAAAUUAUUCUAAUUCCAAUUUCUCAUUUGAAUUCUAGAUAUUUCGAUUUUAGCUUAUUAUGUUUUCAGUUAAUUUUUAUUCAUGUUUAGUGAAUGCACUAUAAAAUUCAUAAUACUUAUAAAAAAACUGUAAAUAAUAUAGAGUGGUCUAAUUGAAUAUAAAUUGAUUUACAAUUUUAUAGUGCAUUCAUUAAAAAUGAAUCGAAAUUAGCUGGAAACAUAAUGAGUUAGAAUUGGAAUAACUAUAAUUAAAAUAAAGAAUUGGAAUUAAAACAAUUUAUUUACUUGAACUGCAUGAAUCGUAAUUAGAAUAAACGGAUGUACGGUACAGCAGACCUGGAGAUUAAGGAAAAACCUAGGCAAACAAAAGUCAAGACAAGAAGAGCAUUCCGAGUCAUGAGAGAGCCAAUUAUUAUUAUUGGCAUUUUAACUAAAAAUUAUUAUUAAUUAUUGUUAAUAGAUUAAGAAAUUUAAAAUUAUAGGGGGUGAAUUAGUACUCUAAUAAAGGUUUCAAUAAAAUAAAACAGAGUAUAAGAGGCUCAAAGACAUUUUACAAGACAAAAAAUUUUAUAAUUCUUAUGAAUAAAUUGUAAAUAAUAUAGAGCAUAUGGGGCUAAUUGAUAUUUUGGGGGUCAGCCGUAAGUUACGCUGAAUGUAACUUAGGCGGACCCCACUCUUAAGGGCUUUUGGUGGAUUCGAGCCAACGACAAGUCAGAUGAUGGUUGGUAGAAGGGAGUUGACUGAAAAUUGUGGGAAAAGACUUAGUGAUGCGACAUUUGGAGUGACCAAUUAAUUGUGAAUUUGAACUGGUCAUCCUUUUUUGCACCUUGUCGCCGUUGUACAACUUGUACUUGCCUGAGGUGAUUAAUUGCUUCAAGCUACAUGAAAACGAUGCGCUUUGCAACAAGAAGCCUUUUUUUUUUUUUUUUUUUUUUUUUUUUUUUUUUUAAAAAAUUUUUUUUUUUUUUUUUUUUUUUUUUUUUUUUUUUUUUUUUUUUUUUUUUUUUUUUUUUUUUUUUUUUUUUUUUUUUUUUUUUUUUUUUUUUUUUUUUUUUUUUUUUUUUUUUUUUUUUUUUUUUUUUUUUUUUUUUUUUUUUUUUUUUUUUUUUUUUUUUUUUUUUUUUUUUUUUUUUUUUUUUUUUUUUUUUUUUUUUUUUUUUUUUUUUUUUUUUUUUUUUUUUUUUUUUUUUUUUUUUUUUUUUUUUUUUUUUUUUUUUUUUUUUUUUUUUUUUAAAAAAAACUUCAAACUUAGUCUCUGAAAAUUGCAAGCUAGUCAAGGUAUAUUUAAUUAUCUGAAAAUUGCAAGUUAGUCAAGGUAUAGUUAAUUGUAUGGCAUAAAAUAAAUCGUCAUGACAAAGGUUUUAGCCACCGAAAUUGUAUUCGUCGUUUAAAAUAAUAUAUUUUUGCCUAAAGUCUAUAUUAUAGUGCUUGGUUGAGGGAAUCGACGGCCGGCCACUGCAACGGUGGUUGGCUGCAUUUGUUUUGUAUAGGGCUAAUUUUGUACUAAGUGAAAGGGUAAAAAAAUGAUAUGGGCAAGGGAUUGGUUGAAUAUGCUGAGCAAUAUCCAUUAGACACAUGGUACAGAUUUCAACUAGUCAAGAACUAAUAAUUUAGUAAGAACUAGUGGCAUUAAAUAGUAAUUAUUCGGUGAAGUUGAGACUCUUAUAACAUUUCGCUUUCUAAGUUGUCGGCUUGAAUCUUGAUGCAAUUAAAAACAAUGAAUCUCUGAACUCUUGGUUAUGGAAAAACUUCUUGCUGUUUCUCUUUCCCGAAAUAAUUAAUGAUUACAAUGUGAUUUAUACAUAAGAAAAGGAUCAACAUGUCGAAGUAAAGCAAAUAUAUACAAUAUAUUAUACUUGAAAUAAUUGUGUAGAAUUGAUAGAAGUGAAAACUUUAUUAAGAAAAAUCAAACCCGUCACUUGCGUUAAGAAAAUUGACGUGGGCAUGCAUGAGAGCUGAAUUGGUUAAUUUAGAGUAAUGAUAGUGAGAAGGAGCUCACUCCAACCCCAGCAAUCCCAUAUGAAAGAGUAAACAGAAGUUAAAAUAAUAAUAAAAUUACUCUAACUUUUGAAUUGAUGGCAAAAUUUUGCACAAUAAAAUCGCUUUGGUGGGAUUGAGGUGAGUCUCGCUAAUUGAUGGGUUGAAUAUAAUUUUUCAUUGUUUAAUGUACAGAUCAGAAAGAUCACAUUUAGUCAUGGCAUAGAUCUUGUUAACUCAAUUGUAUUCAAGCACAUAUUAUUUGACCACAAGAACACGUGGAGUUGAUUAUUCACUUAAUAUUGAGUCCUUCGUAGACAUUUAUUUCCUAGUUGUCAGCUUGAUAAAAUUGAAAGCAGUGUAAUUACCAAGAACGUAAUUUUUUUUAACUUUUUGAAGGAAUUAUAUUGACUUCUUCGAUCUAAUUUGACUGGAAACUAUGCAAGUUAUCAAGUAAUUUACUAUGAAAAAUUUAGAAUAAUUAUUUGGGAAGACUAUAAUGUAUUAAUUAUAUCAUCUAUGGGAAGGAAUUAUAUUUACUUCUUCGGUCUAAUUUGACUGGAAACUAUGCAAGUUAUCAAGUAAUUUACUAUGAAAAAUUUAGAAUAAUUAUCUGGGAAGACUAUAAUGUAUUAAUUAUAUCAUAUAUGGGAAGGCCAGUUCAGACGAGUCGUUGAAACAUGCAGCACCAAUUUUUUUUUUAAUAUGUGUUACACAAUAGGAAAAUCUCAAUAAAUUGAUCAUUUUGAGUAAACUAAGUUUGGUAGUUCCGAGUUCAGACAAAUGGGCCAAAUAAAAUUUUACUAAAUUUAUAAGAUUAUGUACUAUAGAAAAAUAUUUGUAGUUUCAUAUAAGACAACUUACUUUUGGCCUGUUUAAUUCUUAUAAGUUUGAGAUAAUGUUCAAUUUAUAAGCUGAAUUUUGAGUGUGAAUUAGACACAAGCUUCUAUGUGCUAUCGAUACCAAACUCAUCCACAAGUUGAAUCACGCUACCUUUUCAUAUGACAAGGAUUAUGUAGAAAUGCCAACUUGCACGUGACAGAGGGUGUUAAGAGAAAAAUCUCAUAUUAGUUGUAAUGAAUCGUUAGAUAUUUAUAUAAUCCUUUUCAUAUGAUAAGGAUUAUGCCAUGGACUUCUAUAUAGUAUCAUAACCAAAAUCUUGUAAGAGUGGACUCACACUAUUUUACUAGAUGAGAGGGACUAAUAAAAAUGACCACCCUGCAUGUAGUUAGGGAUGAUAGGAAAAUCAUCCAAUGUCAAUUGAGAAAAAGAACUAUAUUUUGAGUAUGAGUUAGGCUUAUGAUAUCAUAGAAAAAUUCAUCCACGUAUGGGCCAUGACAUCUCUAUUUCUCACUGCCAAGAAGCACAUACCUUAAAUUAUUUCAUAGUUUUUUUUUGUGGUUUCAAUUUCAUGCUCCAGUUUUUGCUGUACCAGUUAAUUUAUUUCGUUAUAAGCCAUAAAGGUAUUCCUAUGGUACAUUGAACAACAAUUCUUCAUAACAAUCAGUUUAUGGGGAAGUUUAUAUGUACACAAAAUCCUUGAGUGAAAUAGAGGUUACAACAAACUCAAUUGAAAAUAAAUCUAUCAUAGAAACAAAAAGGAGUUAAUGUGUUAUCCAAUUUCAAGAAUCCUUGGGGUGAACCUGUUGGUGUGCGUUCUAUAGCAACAUUAACCAAAAUAUUGAUGUGCGUGAAUAAGACCAACAGUCUAGUUAAAUGGCACAGGGUAGUAACUUUAAUCGUUCAAAACAUUAGUAGCAAAAAUAUUGCAAAAAAAAAAAAGAGUGAAAGACAGAACAAGCAAUAUAAUAUAGAAAUAAAUAAUGAAAAUAGCAAAUGCAAGUGCCAAAAUAUUUAGCUAUAUGUCUAAAAAUAUUUUACAAAAUAUAUCUAAGAACAAGUGAGAUUACUCCGGAUCCAAAUUAGAGUAAAACUAAGAUGUGAUCACAUAAAAAAUUACACAACAAGCCAUACGAAACUCCGAAAAGGUUGCUGAUCUAAUGAAAAAAAUGUAAUAAUAAGCACACAUGAUCACUAAUAACAUCAUAUGUCAGAAAACUUGAACACACCCAAAAAAAGGUUAUAAAAUCUAAUGGUUUAAAAUAUAGCAAAAACAAGAAAAGAUAGAGAUUUAUAUCUAAAAUCAAAUCUCUCGUUGAGUCCACUCUUUUCGAUCUAUAAAUGCAAGUCAAAAGGAUUAAGAAGAGACUUUUAGCUAUUUUUUCACUCAUAACAGAGAAAACCAUAUCCAAAUUUACUAGAAUUCACUAAACACAAAACUAACAAGAACAUUGGAAUGCCUUCGCAAGUACACGCUCAAGUUAUGAUAAUCUGCGGAGAAAAUGUUGAAGACGAGAAGGAAUCUCACGCAUUCAGAAGAAUCAGGUUUAAUUCAAACAGUUACUUCUUUUAUAUUAUCCGGUCUAUUGAAGGAUGUAGAACUUAAGGUGCUAUAAACAAAUCAAGCAACCUUAGAUCCUACCCAAGAUCACCAACCAAAUUUAUCAAGAUGCUUCAAGAUUGAUAACUGAAGAACUUGACUAAGAUUAAUCAAUGGAAUGUGACAAUUAACCGACUAGAAUUAAGAAAACAAAAGAUAUAGAAUGGACAAAAAACAAGAGAGAUUUAACGUGGUUCAGCUAGAUCUCUCUAGCUUACAUCCACGGGAGGGCAAAUAUGACCAGCUUUGAUUGAUUCUCAAGAUGAUUUACAGAGUAAUGCUAUGAGCCUUUACACAAGAUCGAGACUGCUUAUUUAUUCCAGCCCUUUCUCUCUCUACAACUCUCUAUCCUUUUGAAUCUGUUGCACCAGAAUCAGCUGCUUCAUAACAGCUUCAUAACAAACCCAGAACUUCCCCAGCAACUCACGUGAGUUCCUAAUGCUUUAACGACAUUUAACGAACCUUGUGAGCUGGAUACAAGCACGUGAUGUUCGCAUGCUUCACUUAAGGGUAAAUGGCAAGCUUGUAUAUAGGGGUGGGCGCGGUUUGGUUCCGUUCGGUUUUUUACUAAAUUUUUCAUAAUCGUUCGAUUACGAUUAUUUUAAAAUCAUAAUCGCGAUUAAUCAAAUUAUCGAAAUAAUCAAAUAUUCGAUUAAUUGAAAUAAUUCGAUUCGAUUCGGUUCAAUUAUUUCGAUUAUGGGCUUAUUUUGGGCUUUUUUAAAUUUAAAACCUUAAAUUAAUAAAUCUACCACAAACAUAAAAAGUUAACAAACAAAAAAUCAAAAUAUGUCUCAAAGUAUAUUCAAGAACACAUAACAUGUUCAAAUACCAAGUUCAAAUCAAAAUAAAUAAGCAAAAAGUCUUUUAAACUUUAACAAAACUACAAAAGCAAUAAACAUCAAUCAACUCCCAAAUCCCAAUUACUCCUCUCAGUUGCUUGUUCUUGUUGAGCUACUAUUGGCCUACCAAAUUCUACAUUAACAAAUUAAACAAAAAUAUUAGACCGAUUAGUUAAGAGUGAAAUAACCAAAACAAUAUAUCAAAAUAUAGUAGUAACAUAUUACCUGCUUCAAUGACUUCAUAGAAUUCAGUUUCCUCCUAAGUAGGUUGUAUUAUCUGUUCUACUAAUAGAGUUUAGCGAAGCCAAUUUUAAGUGCAAAUCAAUGACUCAACAGUUUUAUGAGUUAAAGAACUUCUAAAAGGAUCAAGAACACGCCCUCUUGUGCUAAAUGCCAAUUCCGAAGCUACAGUAAACAUUGGAAUUGCCAAAACAUCCUUGGCAAUCUGAGACAAAAUUGGAUACCUAUGCCCAUUCAACUUCCACCAAGUCAAAAUAUCAAAAUGGGCAUUACUAGUACUCUCAUUAGCAUCCGUCAAGUACUUUUCAACACCAUUUUUUGAACUAAUGUCAUCAUUUGAACUUUGCUUCAUCUUUUGAAAGAUGAAAAAAGAUCAAUUGACAUUAUACUACUACUAGCACCACCACCACCACCACCACCACCACUACUACCAUCAUGGAUAUCACCAAAACAAACACCACCACUAUUCCUCACAUCACUCCCACCAAUAUAGCUAUUAUAUAGCUUCAUCAACAACUCUUUAAUGUUAGAUUUCAAUUCUUCAACCUUCCUAAAUUCAUACAUGCUACUAAAACAAACUCCAAUUUACAUAUAGGAUCAAGCACAAUUGCUACAAAUAAUAACAUGUUAACCUAAUCAAAAGAAUCACCCCAAUAUUUAGCAAACUUUUGUUCCAUUUUUUUGGCCAUUUUCCUCAACAAAUCAUCACUAGAAGUAGCAAGUGACUUCAAAUGAAUUAGAACUUUUGCCAUUUCAUUUAAGUAAUCAUUGGAAGUGACAUCAAGAGAGCUACUAAAUUUCAAGGUCAUAUAAUAAAAAACCGAUAAAAAGUUGACUAACCUCCUUGCAUUUCCCCAAUUGUCAUCGCUCGGUGGCCCCUCCCUCUUUUUUUCACCCUCAUCCUCAACAAACCAAUUAACAUAAUGUUGAUCAUCUUCCUUCAUCCUAUCAAAUGUUUUUUCAAACACAGCCGUUUUGUGCAACAUCAAAUAUGUUGAAUUCCAUCUAGUAGGCACAUUCAACACCAUAAGCCCUCCAUAUGAGAUUUUCUCCCUACCAACACAUGUUUUAAACUUUUGCAAUCUUGCUGGAGAGGAUCUAACAGACUUUAUUGCAUUGCGAAUACUAGCUAUUGAAUGAUUCACCUCCGCCAACUCAUCUUGCACAAUCAAAUUUAUUAUGUGUGCCGAACACCUCACAUGCAUAUAUAAACCAUUCAAAACCAUUGAAUUCACACUCCAAUUUGCUAACUUCUUCUUCACAUAAAUUAUUGCAAUUUUAUUGGCACUUGCAUUGUCCACUGUAAUUGUGAACGACCUCUAAAUCCUCCAAUCAAUCAAACAUGUCUCAAUUAGCUUCCCAAUACCAUCUCCUUUAUUAUUAGCUAUAGGUGUGAAACUAAGAAUCCUUUUGUGCAACACCCACUCCGCAUCAAUAAAAUGAGCAGUAAUGACCAUGUAGUUAGACAGUUGAAUUGAUGUCCAUGUAUCUGUGGUAAUACACACCCUUUGCUUGCUUGCACCCAAAACACUUUUUAACAACCCUUUUUCAUACUGAUACAAUUCAAGAAUAUCCCUUGUAAUUGUUCUUCGCGAUGGCACAUCAAAUCUUAGGCAACAAGUUUGCAUAAACUCUAAAAACCCUUCAGCCUCCACAAAGCUAAAAGGUAAUUCAUCCUUGACAAUCAUCUUCACAAGUGCCAUUUUACAAGCCUCUUGACUAAACCCGCCACUAACUUUAACAACUCCAUCAUCUUUAUCUUUUCCCUUUUGACGGAAAAGUAUUUGUUGCUUCAGAUCCCCUUCAACCUUCACAUCUUGAUAUGACCUACAUUUAUCCAAAUGAUUCUUCAAAUUAGUGGUAUUUCCUCUAUUAGCUGCAAAGGUUUUACGGCAAUGAUGACAUUUUCCUUUGUUUCCACAAGGUAGUUUGGUAAAAUGAGCCCAAACAUUUAAUCUCAAAGGCAUUUUUCUUUUUUUUCCCAUCAUCAACCUCCACCUCUUGCACUUCCUCCUCAUCAUAAUUUUCCAUUCUACACAAACACAAAAUCAUUCAUGCAAAAUUGUGGCAAAUCAAAAAUCAGCAGCAACAAAUCAACACAACAGCAACAACAAAUAAAAAAUCUUGGGGAUUAUAAAAUAAAAAAUAUUAUGACAUUGCGGCACAACUCAAAUUUGUGAUCGUUUAUAUUAAUAUGUCUAUCCUAUUAAUAUUAAGGAGAUAUAUCUAUUCAUAAUUUAUUAAGAGAGUAGUAACUUUAGCAAUUUAUACUACAUGAUUCAUGAAUUAACUUUUAUAUACUCUACAUGAUUCAUGAAUUAACUUUAGCAAUUUGUUCAAACAGAAAAAUAGUAUUAAAGUUCUAUAAUAAAAUCACCUUUUCACCCAUUCGAACACUAUAGUUCUGAAUUCUCAUGUCACCACAAGAUAGUUUAACAUGUGAACAUGAGAAAUAGCUUUCUAUAUUUUUUUUUCUUAAAAUCUGAAAAUAUUAGAUGGGUCCAGUGACAUAUAAAGCUAUAAACAUUUAUCCCAAAAAAAAAAAUUUCAAAAUCACUUCAAUCACAUGAAUUAUGCAAGCAAACAAUAAAAUGGAUUGGAUGAAGGUUUUUGGAAAUUGGUUGAACCCUCUGUAGAAUACAAGCAUGAGUAGCUUUAUCAGACCUUUCAUAUUUCUCAACACCUUGGUCUUUUUUUUUUUUUUUUUGCCUGUUGGAAAAGUUCAACAUCUUCAUUGAAGAAAGUGCUCUUACCUUGUGCAUAAAUCAAUCAUAAUCAAUCAAUCAUAAUAACAAUAGCAGCAAUAAUAACAAUAACAAUAAACAACAGCAAGAAGAAAAUGCUUUGCACCUACACAAAUUCACUUUGUCAAGAAAGUGGAGGUGGAGUGCUAAUAAUCUAAUUGUUAGCUUUAGCAAUUAAUUAAUUAUUUCCACCAACAUUAAUAUAACUAUUGGCUCACAGAGCAGAUCAAGUGACCGCAUGUCUCUAUGCACUUGUCCUAAACUCACAUGACAGCGGCUGCAGCACGUGGCUGAGAGUUUUUGUUGACAGCGACUGCAGUACGUGGUAGCAGCGGCGAAGACUCGGCGACGAGCAGCGGCGGGGACGAGCAGCGGCGGCUGAAGGUCACGCAUUCGGUUUCGGCUGAAGAUCAUAAGUGGUGUUUAGUUUAGACUUUAGGGAUUAUUGGAUUGUUAUUCAGUUCGUUUUUUUUUAAACCGAACUGACUGGUUUUACUAUUUUCAUUAUAUUACUUAUUCGGUUUUUUAUUAAUCAGCUUUUUUUGCCCACUCCUACCUGUAUAUCGUUCUGAAGAGUGUUUAACUUGCUCAUCAAAACGCACAUAUCUCUAUCGUUUGGCUUAAGUGAUUCCAGCUUCAAAACACAAGAUCCUCUGUCGUUUUGAGUUUCUGGAUUUGCUUUCAUCAAAACAAAGGAUUUUUUUUAUCUUUCAAUCAACAGUGCCAAUUUCCUAUUGGGAAUGCAGAAGUGACAUUGAUCUGGUCAUAAAUAAUAACCUGACUUGUCCUACAAAUUCAUUUGUACUAAGAGAAAUCUCUGUUAAGUUUGUUUUGAUGAAUGUUUGUUUACUUGAAAAAAAAAGGCAGCACAGAAGAAUAGAAAUUUCAUAAAAUUGUACUUGGAUAAGGAUGGAGAGAGAGAAAUAUUUAUUUCGAGAUGGCAAAGCGUUCAAGAUAGAUAAAUCGUGAGAUAAUGAAGAAUUACAUUAAAUUAAAGAAUGAAGAUAACAUAAAGAACGGUUAACAUCAUUUAAUUAUUAGCUGGGUAUAAAUCAGCAGGCAAGCGGGGCUUUGCACGAGCAUGCAGUGGCUUAGCCAUUAGGAGGUCGCAUUUUGACUCGGAAAGGUCAACCAUCUCCUCAUCCGAUGGCGCGCUCCAAUUAAAACCUUGAAGAAGCCUUGCCAAAAGCAUUACAGACAUCUCGGACCCAAGUGCCAUGCCCAUGCAACCGCGUCUUCCUCUGCUGAAUGAAAGAAAUCUUAAUUCUGGUUCGGUCAACUCUACUUGAUGAUGAUGAUCAUCCGGUGAACCAAUAUGACGUUCCGGUAUGAAUUUCAAUGGAUCUUUCCAGACGUUAGGGUUUCGGCCAAGCCCUAUCCGGCUCAGCAGAACGUGACUGCCUUUGGGAAUGAAGUAACCGGCGACAGUGGCAUCGCGAGUUGAAACAUGAGGCAGGUUAAACGGUGCCACGGGAUGAAGGCGAAGCACUUCCCUUAAACAAGCCUUGAUAUAAUUGAGCUGCGGGACGUCAGAUUCCUGAACAAGUCUUUCUUUUCCAACAACUCUAUCGAUCUCCUCUGUUGCUUUUUGGAGAAUUUCAGGCUGGUUGAUCAUCUCCGCUAUUGCCCAUUCUGCUGCAUUCGAUGGAUUAUCCACUGUUGCAAGUGUCAGAUCCUGCAAGUACGUACAUAUGUUAAUUUAUCGAUCAGUUAAUUUGUCAUUAAAAUUCGAGACCGCGACCUGAUUAUAUAUAACAUGAGCAAUUAAUAAUAUAAAAAUUAAUGUAUUAAAUAAACAAGAUAUCCAACGUACCAUGCAUUGAGAUUUGAUCUCAUCUAUGGAUAACAAUGGAUCCCCAUUUUCAUCCUUUGCUGAAAUGAGAACAUCUAGCAAGUCCAGGUCGUUGUGAGCUUCCUUCUUGUUGUCAUGAUGUCUCCGUUGUUGUACUCUCUCGUCUAUAAUGGAAUCGUGAUACUUGUUGGCAGUUUUCAUGGCCGCACUUACAAUUUUUUCAUGGCCUUCUAGAUCGAAGACUCUCAUCCAGGGAACGUAAUCUGAAAGAGUGAAGGAAUAAAGGUGUUGGAGUGCAACGAAGAGUGAUUCAACGUGUUCUUCUUCUUCAAAUCCGGGACCUCCAUCUUCUUUUCCUUCGCCAAAGUAUCUCCUGUUGAACAUCAUCUUCCUAAUAACGUUCCCGCAAUAAUGGCGGGUCGCAAGUCUUACAUCUACAACUGUUGCGGCAGAAGCACUUUUGCGGCAUUGGUUAUAAAUGAAUCGAACAAUAUUGUCAGCUUCUUCUCUUCUCUUAGAGAUUAAGGAGUUAAGUCGGGCUGAGCUCAACACGUGAGAAGCAACCAUCUUUCUCAUUUUCUUCCAUUGUUGACCCCAUGGCACGACUGCCACUGACAGGAAUCCACGGCUAGAGUACUCUGUCCCCAUUGUGAGCGGCCUCGUUGCAAAAAUUGAGUCGUUAUCUUUUAGAACUUCCAAGGCAAUUUCUGGGGAAGUCACUGGAAUCACAUGAACAUUUCCAAACCGAAUGCAAGAAAUAUUGGUGUUAAGUUCUUUCAUCACACUGUGUAUCCAUUUGAAGGUCGGCUUAUUCCUCCACAUCUCUGGAAGGUUCCCGACUAUUGGCCAUGCAGCCGGGCCUGGGGGCAGAGGUGGUUGCUUCAUUCUUUUCUGGUCCGUACUCUGCUGGACAAAUUCAUUCAUUUUCAAUCAAAUUAGUUUAUAUGUUGAAUAAAAAUAUACAAUUAUUGUUCCUAAUAAAUAAGUAAGGGAAAUCGAAAAAUAAAUAUAGUAUACCUUGAACAGUUGAUUCUGAACGAAUGAAUACAUGUCCAUCACAUACUUCCGAAUAGUUUCGGAUUUCAGCUGAAAGCUUAUUAGUGUAACAACGGCAACAAGUAGUGUCACCCGAACAAUAUAUGUGGAUUCAAAAAUGGGAUUAUCUUCAAGAUAAGAAAGGAAAUCCAUAAUAUUAAUGAAGGCAAUUUUUAUAACGUUCCCGCAAUAAUGGCGGGUUGCAAGUCUUACAUCUACAACUGUUGCGGCAGAAGCACUUUUGCGGCAUUGGUUAU
This 25440-nucleotide long non-coding RNA is filed under the name Citrus sinensis (sweet orange). Its description in RNAcentral is "long non-coding RNA (CSIN_LNC003249)". Lineage: Eukaryota; Viridiplantae; Streptophyta; Magnoliopsida; Sapindales; Rutaceae. The record is from RNAcentral.